Long non-coding RNA from Ostrinia nubilalis (European corn borer), 209 nucleotides. RefSeq lists it as uncharacterized. The transcript is spliced from 3 exons. The record is from RefSeq and is a predicted model, not a curated record. NCBI's taxonomy places the organism in Eukaryota, Metazoa, Arthropoda, Insecta, Lepidoptera, Crambidae.
AGUACAAUUUAUUACCGUCAAAUGAAAAUUUAACGGUUUCCAAAAUUAAGUAAGUUUUUAUGAAGUGAUAAAAUACGCGACCACGUUGCAUCAUUUAUGAUAUUAAAAUGUUUCUUUAACAAAUCAAAGGUACUGGCUUGGCUGUUUCCAAAAAAAACAAGUCGUGAAGAAUUUUCAAAUGUUAUCUUUGUCAGCAAGCAGCAUCGGCU